GGGGACGAACUGGUCUCGACUACCAUUUCGCGCUAAAGAAAAGCAUGCGAAGUACCCUCUUCUAAAAAGGGAAAUCGGUAAUAACUGCCGACAACACUGAAUUUGCAUUGGCAGCGUAAGCUCCUUGCGCUUUAUAAUUUGUUUGCUUUCGAUAAAUUAUAAAGCUUAACCUUUGAAAGCUAGGCAAAACGACUCAGGUAAACUUUGCUGAAAACUUAUCCUGAUAAGAAGUUUAGGCUUUGUCUGUAGAGAACGAACUUCUGAAACUCAAAAUAUAGACUAAGCAUGUAGAAAGCUUUGGUUAGAGUGGCAGGACGCGGGUUCGACUCCCGCCGUCUCCAAAU
Molecule: transfer-messenger RNA, 344 nt
Filed under: Spirochaetia bacterium
Lineage: Bacteria; Pseudomonadati; Spirochaetota; Spirochaetia
Rfam family: transfer-messenger RNA
About the family: Bacterial tmRNA, also known as 10Sa RNA or SsrA, is named for its dual tRNA and mRNA-like properties.
Source: RNAcentral